RNAcentral lists this ribosomal RNA (252 nucleotides) under uncultured bacterium. RNAcentral describes it as "partial 16S ribosomal RNA". It matches the Rfam family "Bacterial small subunit ribosomal RNA", at positions 524 to 776 of the family's 1533-position model. The record is from RNAcentral.
UACGGAGGAUGCGAGCGUUAUCCGGAUUUAUUGGGUUUAAAGGGUGCGUAGGCGGGAUGCCAAGUCAGCGGUAAAAAUGCGGUGCUCAACGCCGUCGAGCCGUUGAAACUGGCGUUCUUGAGUGGGCGAGAAGUAUGCGGAAUGCGUGGUGUAGCGGUGAAAUGCAUAGAUAUCACGCAGAACUCCGAUUGCGAAGGCAGCAUACCGGCGCCCUACUGACGCUGAGGCACGAAAGCGUGGGCAUCGAACAGG